CCGGCACCACAGGAACACGGGUGUCCAGUGCCUUCGAGCGGGCACACAGCUGUUGCAGAGGACGAACGGGGCGAGGUCCACACCAGGGACGUAGAGCGAGGAGCAGUGGCCAAAGCAGAGGCUGAUGUUUCUCAACAUGAUUCCAAAUUUCCUGACCUGGGAGGAAUCUGCAGUUCAGAAGUGCCACGCCUGACUGUCCAUCGGCCCCAUUCCAGGCACUUUCUUCCUUUUUCACCUCCACUAUAAUUAGUGUGUAUCUCACCCAAAGUCUGUGAGCUGUUUGAGGUGAGGGACCAUCUCUACCUCAUUUCCUGCAUCUUCCAAGAUCCAAAAAUUACAGGACGUGAUCACCCAGUGAAACCUGAAUGACAAGAAAAAGCCCAUCAGUAAAGAUCCUGGGAGAAAAUUCUAGGCCUGGUAAUAGCAAAGAGAGAAUGGAAGACAGGGAGGGAGGAAGACAGAGAAAAACAGAGAGACAGAGACCAAUGUGAGACACAUCAACCCAUCCUGACCAAGGGCAGGGAGCCAACCACAACCCAGGUACCUGCCUUUGACCAGGAAUUGAACCCGCAAACCCUUUGGUGUGCGGGCGGACGCUCUAACCACUGAGAACACUGGCCAGGGCUCUUGCAUUAUUAUUUAUUA
This is a long non-coding RNA of Myotis lucifugus (little brown bat), 645 nucleotides long. RefSeq lists it as uncharacterized. The transcript has 3 exons. NCBI's taxonomy places the organism in Eukaryota, Metazoa, Chordata, Mammalia, Chiroptera, Vespertilionidae. The record is from RefSeq and is a predicted model, not a curated record.